RNAcentral lists this ribosomal RNA (252 nucleotides) under uncultured bacterium. RNAcentral describes it as "partial 16S ribosomal RNA". It matches the Rfam family "Bacterial small subunit ribosomal RNA", at positions 524 to 776 of the family's 1533-position model. The record is from RNAcentral.
UACGUAGGGGGCGAGCGUUAUCCGGAUUUAUUGGGCGUAAAGCGUGUGUAGGCGGUUUAUUAAGUUUAAGAUCAAAGCCUGGGGCUUAACUCCAGUUCGUCUUAAAAACUGGUAGACUUGAGUGUGGUAGAGGCAAGUGGAAUUUCUAGUGUAGCGGUUAAAUGCGUAGAUAUUAGAAGGAACACCAGUGGCGAAGGCGGCUUGCUGGGCCACAACUGACGCUGAGACACGAAAGCGUGGGUAGCAAAUAGG